CAAUAGCGUAUAUUUAAGUUGCUGCAGUUAAAAAGCUCGUAGUUGGAUUUCGGGUGGGAAUGGCCGGUCCGCCGUUUCGGUGUGCACUUGCUACGCCCACCUUGCUGCCGGGGACGUGCUCUUGAGUUCACGCUCGGGACACGGAGUCGGCGAGGUUACUUUGAGUAAAUUAGAGUGUUCAAAGCAGGCCUACGCUCUGAAUACAUUAGCAUGGAAUAACACGAUAGGACUCUGGCCUAUCUUGUUGGUCUGUAGGACCGGAGUAAUGAUUAAGAAGGACAGUCGGGGGCAUUCGUAUUUCAUUGUCAGAGGUGAAAUUCUUGGAUUUAUGAAAGACGAACUACUGCGAAAGCAUUUGCCAAGGAUGUUUUCAUUAA
Molecule: ribosomal RNA, 377 nt
Filed under: uncultured eukaryote
Lineage: Eukaryota
Description: partial 18S ribosomal RNA
Rfam family: Eukaryotic small subunit ribosomal RNA
Source: RNAcentral